Molecule: non-coding RNA, 162 nt
Organism: Arabidopsis thaliana (thale cress)
Lineage: Eukaryota; Viridiplantae; Streptophyta; Magnoliopsida; Brassicales; Brassicaceae
Source: Rfam
AAGGGUAAGUAAGGAGCUGAAAACGAGUCCUUCGGAGGGCGAAGAAACUCAUUAAUUCAUUUUGAUGAGGGCCCCUCAUUCAAAUGUUAUGCUUAGUGCUUCCCUCACAUUUUGAGUUGAUUAUUUCCAAUUUCGAGAGUGAGAUUGAUCCGACCAAGUAGU